RNAcentral lists this ribosomal RNA (497 nucleotides) under uncultured bacterium. Its description in RNAcentral is "partial 16S ribosomal RNA". It matches the Rfam family "Bacterial small subunit ribosomal RNA", at positions 28 to 507 of the family's 1533-position model. The record is from RNAcentral.
GAUGAACGCUGGCGGUGUGCCUAAUACAUGCAAGUCGAGCGGACAGACGAGGAGCUUACUCCUCUGACGUUAGCGGCGGACGGGUGAGUAACACGUGGAUAACCUACCUAUAAGACUGGGAUAACUUCGGGAAACCGGAGCUAAUACCGGAUAACAUGUUGAACCGCAUGGUUCAACAGUGAAAGACGGUCUUGCUGUCACUUAUAGAUGGAUCCGCGUCGCAUUAGCUAGUUGGUAAGGUAACGGCUUACCAAGGCAACGAUGCGUAGCCGACCUGAGAGGGUGAUCGGCCACACUGGAACUGAGACACGGUCCAGACUCCUACGGGAGGCAGCAGUAGGGAAUCUUCCGCAAUGGGCGAAAGCCUGACGGAGCAACGCCGCGUGAGUGAAGAAGGUCUUCGGAUCGUAAAACUCUGUUAUUAGGGAAGAACAAAUGUGUAAGUAACUAUGCACGUCUUGACGGUACCUAAUCAGAAAGCCACGGCUAACUACGUG